AGAGUUUGAUCAGCUUAGAAGGGGAACGCUGGCGGCAGGCUUAACACAUGCAAGUGCAGUUGAAGAUGAGGGCGAGAGGGAAGCUUGCUUCUCUGCUGACGAGUGGCGGACGGGUGAGUAAUGUCUGGGAAGCUGCCUGCUUGAGGGGGAUAGCGGAGCGAAAGUUCCGAUAAUACCGCGUAAGCCCGAGAGGGGAAAGUGCGGGACCGCAAGGCCGCACGCGAGCAGAUGCGCCCAGAUGGGAUUAGGCAGUUGGGGAGGUAACGGCUCACCAAACCGAUGAUCUCUAGCUGGUUUGAGAGGACAAUCAGCCACAUUGGAAUUGAGAAACGGACCAAACUCCUACGGUAGGCAGCAGUGGGGAAUAUUGCACAAUGGGGGAUUUUUGAUGCAGCCAUGCCGCGUGUGUGAAGAAGGCCUUCGGGUUGUAAAGCACUUUUGCAUUCGAGGAAGACAGCACGUAAAUAAACGUGUUAUUUGACGUUAGAGUGUGAAUAAGCACCGGCAAACUCCGUGCCAGCAGCCGCGGUAAUACGGAGGGUGCGAGCGUUAAUCGGAAUGACUGGGCGUAAAGGGCACGCAGGUGGCGAGAUAAGUUGGAUGUGAAAUUCCCGUGCUUAACAUGGGGACUGCAUCCAAAACUGUUGAACUGGAGUACUGUAGAGGGAGGUAGAAUUCCACGUGUAGCGGUGAAAUGCGUAGAGAUGUGGAAGAAUACCAGAGGCGAAGGCGGCCUCCUGGACAGAUACUGACACUGAGGUGCGAAAGCGUGGGUAGCAAACAGGAUUAGAUACCCUGGUAGUCCGCGCCGUAAACGAUGUUAACUUGAAAUAUGCGUACUACGGUAUGUGUGUUUCGCAGCAAACGCCAUAAGUUAACCGCCUGGGGAGUACGAUCGCAAGGUUAAAACUCAAAUGAAUUGACGGGGGCCCGCACAAGCGGUGGAGCAUGUGGUUUAAUUCGAUGCAACGCGAAGAACCUUACCUGGCCUUGAGAUACCGGGAAUCCUGCAGAGAUGCGGGAGUGCCUUCGGGAACCCGGAUACAGGUGCUGCAUGGCUGUCGUCAGCUCGUGUCGUGAGAUGUUGGGUUAAGUCCCGCAACGAGCGCAACCCUUAUCCUCUGUUGCCAGCACUUCGGGUGGGAACUCAGAGGGGACUGCCAGUUAUAAACUGGAGGAAGGCGGGGAUGACGUCAAGUCAUCAUGGCCCUUACGGCCAGGGCUACACACGUGCUACAAUGGGGCGUACAGAGGGAAGCCAAGCCGUGAGGCGGAGCGGAUCUCACAAAGCGUCCCGUAGUUCGGAUUGAAGUCUGCAACUCGGCUUCAUGAAGUCGGAAUCGCUAGUAAUCGCGAAUCAGAAUGUCGCGGUGAAUACGUUCCCGGGCCUUGUACACACCGCCCGUCACGCCAUGGGAGCGGAAUGCACCAGAAGCAGCUUGCUUAACAGCAAUGGGGGCGGCUGCCACGGUGUGUUUUGUAACUGGGGUGAAGUCGUAACAAGGUAACCGUAAGAGUUUGAUCAGCUUAGAAGGGGAACGCUGGCGGCAGGCUUAACACAUGCAAGUGCAGUUGAAGAUGAGGGCGAGAGGGAAGCUUGCUUCUCUGCUGACGAGUGGCGGACGGGUGAGUAAUGUCUGGGAAGCUGCCUGCUUGAGGGGGAUAGCGGAGCGAAAGUUCCGAUAAUACCGCGUAAGCCCGAGAGGGGAAAGUGCGGGACCGCAAGGCCGCACGCGAGCAGAUGCGCCCAGAUGGGAUUAGGCAGUUGGGGAGGUAACGGCUCACCAAACCGAUGAUCUCUAGCUGGUUUGAGAGGACAAUCAGCCACAUUGGAAUUGAGAAACGGACCAAACUCCUACGGUAGGCAGCAGUGGGGAAUAUUGCACAAUGGGGGAUUUUUGAUGCAGCCAUGCCGCGUGUGUGAAGAAGGCCUUCGGGUUGUAAAGCACUUUUGCAUUCGAGGAAGACAGCACGUAAAUAAACGUGUUAUUUGACGUUAGAGUGUGAAUAAGCACCGGCAAACUCCGUGCCAGCAGCCGCGGUAAUACGGAGGGUGCGAGCGUUAAUCGGAAUGACUGGGCGUAAAGGGCACGCAGGUGGCGAGAUAAGUUGGAUGUGAAAUUCCCGUGCUUAACAUGGGGACUGCAUCCAAAACUGUUGAACUGGAGUACUGUAGAGGGAGGUAGAAUUCCACGUGUAGCGGUGAAAUGCGUAGAGAUGUGGAAGAAUACCAGAGGCGAAGGCGGCCUCCUGGACAGAUACUGACACUGAGGUGCGAAAGCGUGGGUAGCAAACAGGAUUAGAUACCCUGGUAGUCCGCGCCGUAAACGAUGUUAACUUGAAAUAUGCGUACUACGGUAUGUGUGUUUCGCAGCAAACGCCAUAAGUUAACCGCCUGGGGAGUACGAUCGCAAGGUUAAAACUCAAAUGAAUUGACGGGGGCCCGCACAAGCGGUGGAGCAUGUGGUUUAAUUCGAUGCAACGCGAAGAACCUUACCUGGCCUUGAGAUACCGGGAAUCCUGCAGAGAUGCGGGAGUGCCUUCGGGAACCCGGAUACAGGUGCUGCAUGGCUGUCGUCAGCUCGUGUCGUGAGAUGUUGGGUUAAGUCCCGCAACGAGCGCAACCCUUAUCCUCUGUUGCCAGCACUUCGGGUGGGAACUCAGAGGGGACUGCCAGUUAUAAACUGGAGGAAGGCGGGGAUGACGUCAAGUCAUCAUGGCCCUUACGGCCAGGGCUACACACGUGCUACAAUGGGGCGUACAGAGGGAAGCCAAGCCGUGAGGCGGAGCGGAUCUCACAAAGCGUCCCGUAGUUCGGAUUGAAGUCUGCAACUCGGCUUCAUGAAGUCGGAAUCGCUAGUAAUCGCGAAUCAGAAUGUCGCGGUGAAUACGUUCCCGGGCCUUGUACACACCGCCCGUCACGCCAUGGGAGCGGAAUGCACCAGAAGCAGCUUGCUUAACAGCAAUGGGGGCGGCUGCCACGGUGUGUUUUGUAACUGGGGUGAAGUCGUAACAAGGUAACCGUA
Molecule: ribosomal RNA, 3026 nt
Filed under: uncultured rumen bacterium
Lineage: Bacteria
Description: bacterial SSU rRNA
Rfam family: Bacterial small subunit ribosomal RNA (bases 1507-3026)
Source: RNAcentral